GCCGAUGUAGCUCAGCUGGCUAGAGCAGCUGAUUUGUAAUCAGCAGGUCGUGGGUUCGAGUCCCUCCAUCGGC
Molecule: transfer RNA, 73 nt
Filed under: Cellulophaga fucicola
Lineage: Bacteria; Pseudomonadati; Bacteroidota; Flavobacteriia; Flavobacteriales; Flavobacteriaceae
Also listed under: 4 other names
Description: tRNA-Thr
Rfam family: tRNA
About the family: Transfer RNA (tRNA) molecules are approximately 80 nucleotides in length. Their secondary structure includes four short double-helical elements and three loops (D, anti-codon, and T loops). Further hydrogen bonds mediate the characteristic L-shaped molecular structure. tRNAs have two regions of fundamental functional importance: the anti-codon, which is responsible for specific mRNA codon recognition, and the 3' end, to which the tRNAs corresponding amino acid is attached (by aminoacyl-tRNA synthetases). tRNAs cope with the degeneracy of the genetic code in two manners: having more than one tRNA (with a specific anti-codon) for a particular amino acid; and 'wobble' base-pairing, i.e. permitting non-standard base-pairing at the 3rd anti-codon position.
Source: RNAcentral